RNAcentral lists this ribosomal RNA (253 nucleotides) under uncultured bacterium. RNAcentral describes it as "partial 16S ribosomal RNA". It matches the Rfam family "Bacterial small subunit ribosomal RNA", at positions 524 to 776 of the family's 1533-position model. The record is from RNAcentral.
UACGUAGGGCGCAAGCGUUAUCCGGAAUUAUUGGGCGUAAAGAGCUCGUAGGCGGUUUGUCGCGUCUGCUGUGAAAACUCGAGGCUCAACCUCGGGCUUGCAGUGGGUACGGGCAGACUAGAGUGCGGUAGGGGUGACUGGAAUUCCUGGUGUAGCGGUGGAAUGCGCAGAUAUCAGGAGGAACACCGAUGGCGAAGGCAGGUCACUGGGCCGCAACUGACGCUGAGGAGCGAAAGCAUGGGGAGCGAACAGG